This 497-nucleotide ribosomal RNA is filed under the name uncultured bacterium. RNAcentral describes it as "partial 16S ribosomal RNA". It matches the Rfam family "Bacterial small subunit ribosomal RNA", at positions 28 to 507 of the family's 1533-position model. The record is from RNAcentral.
GACGAACGCUGGCGGCGUGCCUAAUACAUGCAAGUAGAACGCUGAAGAGAGGAGCUUACUCUUCUUGGAUGAGUUGCGAACGGGUGAGUAACGCGUAGGUAACCUGCCUUGUAGCGGGGGAUAACUAUUGGAGACGAAAGCUAAUACCGCAUAACAAUGGAUGACACAUGUCAUUUAUUUGAAAGGGGCAAUUGCUCCACUACAAGAUGGACCUGCGUUGUAUUAGCUAGUAGGUGAGGUAAUGGCUCACCUAGGCGACGAUACAUAGCCGACCUGAGAGGGUGAUCGGCCACACUGGGACUGAGACACGGCCCAGACUCCUACGGGAGGAAGCAGUAGGGAAGCUUCGGCAAUGGGGGCAACCCUGACCGAGCAACGCCGCGUGAGUGAAGAAGGGUUUCGGAUCGUAAAGCUCGGUUGUAAGUCAAGAACGGGUGUGAGAGUGGAAAGUUCACACUGUGACGGUAGCUUACCAGAAAGGGACGGCUAACUACGUG